UUUAGUCAGGCAACGAGCAAGACCCGUGCCUACAGUUGCCAGCAUUUUCGCAAGAAAGAUGGGCACACUGUGGGGACCGCCGCUGCUAAAGCGGAGGAAGGAGCGGGCUACGGUAGGUCAGUAUGCCCCGAAUGGUCCGGGCUACACGCGGGCUACAAUGGUUGGGACAAUGGGCACCUACACCAAGAGGUGAUGGUAAUCUCCUAAACCCAGCCUUAGUUCGGAUUGAGGGCUGCAACUCGCCCUCAUGAAGCCGGAAUCCGUAGUAAUCGCGUAUCAACAUUACGCGGUGAAUACGUCCCUGCUCCUUGCACA
Molecule: ribosomal RNA, 315 nt
Filed under: uncultured archaeon
Lineage: Archaea
Description: bacterial SSU rRNA
Rfam family: Archaeal small subunit ribosomal RNA
Source: RNAcentral